RNAcentral lists this unclassified non-coding RNA (212 nucleotides) under Hevea brasiliensis (rubber tree). The record is from RNAcentral. Lineage: Eukaryota; Viridiplantae; Streptophyta; Magnoliopsida; Malpighiales; Euphorbiaceae.
GAACUGAUUGAACUGAAUUGAUUCGGUUUGAUUUGAAUCUUUGGUUUGAACAGAAAUCUGCUCACCCCUAUAUGCCAACCCCAUCCCCCUAUAGUUGGAGUUUUUAUUUGGUGAAAUUGAUGUAUAUAUAACGAUUUUAUUAUAACUAUUGAUCAUGAUGAGUAUAAAAUAAAUGAACUGGACCUAACUCUAUCUUAAAAGCCAGCUCAAAG